GACGAACGCUGGCGGCGCGCCUAACACAUGCAAGUCGAACGAGAGAUGAAGAGCUUGCUCUUCAAAUCGAGUGGCGAACGGGUGAGUAACGCGUGAGGAACCUGCCUCAAAGAGGGGGACAACAGUUGGAAACGACUGCUAAUACCGCAUAAGCCCACGGCUCGGCAUCGAGCAGAGGGAAAAGGAGCGAUCCGCUUUGAGAUGGCCUCGCGUCCGAUUAGCUAGUUGGUGAGGUAACGGCCCACCAAGGCGACGAUCGGUAGCCGGACUGAGAGGUUGAACGGCCACAUUGGGACUGAGACACGGCCCAGACUCCUACGGGAGGCAGCAGUGGGGAAUAUUGCACAAUGGGGGAAACCCUGAUGCAGCGACGCCGCGUGGAGGAAGAAGGUCUUCGGAUUGUAAACUCCUGUUCGUUGAGGAAGAUAAAUGACGGUACUCAACAAGGAAGUGACGGCUAACACGUGCCAGCAG
Molecule: ribosomal RNA, 474 nt
Filed under: uncultured bacterium
Lineage: Bacteria
Description: bacterial SSU rRNA
Rfam family: Bacterial small subunit ribosomal RNA
Source: RNAcentral